This 630-nucleotide ribosomal RNA is filed under the name uncultured marine eukaryote. RNAcentral's name for it is "SSU rRNA". It matches the Rfam family "Eukaryotic small subunit ribosomal RNA", at positions 619 to 1248 of the family's 1831-position model. The record is from RNAcentral.
UUGAAAAAGCUCGUAGUUGGAUCUCGGCGGACUGAGGCCGGUUUGCUUGCUAGUAUUACUGCCCUAUGAGUCCGUAGUUUUGCCAGAGGUUUCGGGGUGCCCUUAAUCGAGUGUCCCGGGAUGCUGGCAGGUUUACUUUGAAAAAAUUAGAGUGCUCAAAGCAGGCUAUUACGCCUGAAUAUUCGUGCAUGGAAUAAUAGAAUAGGAAGUCGUUUCUAUUUUGUUGGUUUUCGGAAAUCGACUUAAUGAUUAAUAGGGACAGUCGGGGGCAUUUGUAUUCAAACGACAGAGGUGAAAUUCUUGGACCGUUUGAAGACAAACUACUGCGAAAGCAUUUGCCAAGAAUGUUUUCAUUAAUCAAGAACGAAAGUUAAAGGUUCGAAGGCGAUUAGAUACCGCCCUAGUUUUAACCAUAAACGAUGCCAGCUAGCGAUCUGCGGACGUUUUUUUUGUAGACUCCGCAGGAAGCUUCCGGGAAACCAAAGCAUUUGGGUUCCAGGGGAAGUAUGGUUGCAAAGCUGAAACUUAAAGGAAUUGACGGAAGGGCACCACCAGGAGUGGAGCCUGUGGCUUAAUUUGACUCAACACGGGAAAUCUCACUAGGCCCGGACACUGGAAGGAUUGACAGAU